Molecule: ribosomal RNA, 331 nt
Filed under: uncultured Bacteroidota bacterium
Lineage: Bacteria; Pseudomonadati; Bacteroidota
Description: bacterial SSU rRNA
Rfam family: Bacterial small subunit ribosomal RNA
Source: RNAcentral
GAUGAACGCUAGCGGCAGGCUUAAUACAUGCAAGUCGUGGGGCAGCAGUCCCGUAGCAAUACGGGAGCUGGCGACCGGCAAACGGGUGCGUAACACGUACGCAACUUUCCCAUUACUGGGGGAUAGCCCAGGGGAAACUUGGAUUAAUACCCCAUAUUAUAUGGAUCAGGCAUCUGGUUCAUAUCAAAGCUUCGGCGGUAAUGGAUGGGCGUGCGGCUGAUUAGGUAGUUGGCGGGGUAACGGCCCACCAAGCCUACGAUCAGUAGCUGAUGUGAGAGCAUGAUCAGCCACACGGGCACUGAGACACGGGCCCGACUCCUACGGGUGGCAG